Long non-coding RNA from Cimex lectularius (bed bug), 579 nucleotides. RefSeq lists it as uncharacterized. NCBI's taxonomy places the organism in Eukaryota, Metazoa, Arthropoda, Insecta, Hemiptera, Cimicidae. The record is from RefSeq and is a predicted model, not a curated record. The transcript has 3 exons.
CAGCUGUUGCAUGUCUUCCUAUUGGGAAAAACGUUAAUUACUAUUAAUAAUCAGCCAUUGUUACGAUUCAUACGGGGAUAUGUUAUAAAGACGUUCGAUAAAGGCUCGGAGGAAUCGAGUUAAAUAUUAAGUUUCGCUGACGAUGAUCGAGAACACAUGGGUCGAGUAAUGAGUCAACCUUCACCAUGACGCCAUGUACCCGUUCAACAAAGUGGAAUGGAAACCUGAUGAGUCACUUUUGGCUUGGGAAUACUUGAAUGUCUUAUCUCCUUUUUAAGAAGAAAAAUUUGAUGUUCUUCAAGUGUUCGCUUGACUGGGAUUUCCACUAAAACGCAAGAACACUCUUGGUGAAUCCCGUGGACCGUUUGGCAUCGCUGCACCAGUUUGGCGAUUGUAAUUAAAAUGAAAGGGUGAGAUAAAAUACGCUCUUUAUCAUCGCGCACGGGGCGUGUUCAUCAUUAUUGACGUGAUUACUUAUAGUACUCCUUUGUCUGUCUCAUAUUUACCUUGUAAUAACAAUGUGAUUCAAAAAUAAAAGUGCGUUUUUUGUGCUUUUGGCAAAUUAUUUUUUAACUAAGG